AGUGCUCUAUCUUGGCUGUGUCCGUCAGUGUUAGUGCCCUGGCUGCGAUCUUCGAAGAGAGUUUUGUAAGAGAGAAGACUUCACAGUCUCCGUUUCUCCCUCUUCCGGUCAAAGGAGUUCAGGUCUGGCCCACCAAAAACGUCACAGGCGCCCCCUGCACCCCGUGCUCCUUCCAGAGAGGCUUGCAGGGUAUCUCUCCUUCCUUGUCCCCUCCUGCCCUCCCUGCCCCAGGGGCCCAUGAUUACAGCAUCCAGGCUGCCGCUCCAGGCAGUGACCCACAUGCUACCUCUGUCAUGUCUCUCCAAUCUCCACACGGGCAGACCGAACUGCCAGAGACACUUGGAUUUCAUUACUGCCCCCGACUCCUCCUGGCUGAGUGAUCUGGGGUGAGUUAACCUGCCUGUCUGAACCUCAGUUUCCUCAUCUGGAAAACGGACACUUGCCUAACAACCUUGCUGGGUCAUGUGGGGCUUAGUGAGACGGUCUGUAACUACCUGGCACAGAGCAGGCGCUUAGGAAAUGGAAAGUAUGGCAUUCAAAGGCCUCGAUGAUCUGACCUCAACUGACUUUUCUAGCUACAUUUAUUUAAAGAAUAAGAAUAAUAGCUCAUUCUUCUUGAUGCUUACUGUAUGGGAGGCCCUGCUCUAAACACUUGUAUAGGGACACUUUUAUUCUCCUAUCACCCCCUUGUGGUGGGUACUGUUAGCAUCUCCAUUUUACAGAUGAGAAAACUGAGGCACAGGGAGAUGAAGCACCUUGGCCACGGUCGCACAGCAGGCUCCUUCCUGGCAGCUGUGUGCCCACCUCAUCCGUGAAGCCCUCCCCAAGUCCUCCCUCACGUCCACCUGUGCGGGCUCAUCACAGUUGGACUCGAAGGUGGUGUGGAGGAGAACUAGCCCUCAGGGGCCCCACUACUCUGCAAGAACGGCUGGAGGGCUGCAGCUGGAACCAGCCCCAGAAGGCAGCCUGCCAGCUGGGCUUCCUGCUGUCUGCUCAGGGGAAAGGACUCAGCCACAGGCCACAGGAGGCCUGCAUUGCCUGGGGGGCAGGUCUGAACCCUAGAGGGACCGGAGGAACUGGACGGGCUGGACAGACAUCCAUAAGGGGACAGGACUGAGUGCCACUUGCUGAUGGCGUUGAGCAGUGGGGCCCAGAGUGCAACCACCCACCAGCCCGCCUAAUUCCAAGGGGCCUCUCAGAGGGUUUCAGGCCCAUUGUCAGGACCCCAGCCCAGUGCACCCCAGCAAACAGGAUAAUGUCUCCAACAGGUCACAUGCCCAGGGUCCCACUCCUGUUUCUGCCCAGUCCCACACAAGGCCUCUGGUCCACAUCAGCUGCCUCCUCCCACUCACCAUGACUCCCCACAGCUCUGCCCAGACUCCGAGCACUCCCUAACGGGAGCAUCCCAUCCUGGGAGGACGGACACUGUCCUGUCCGGCAUGGCGAAGCUUCGUGUCACCUCCAUCACUCUCGGUUCCACGGUCAGAUGGGGACUCCCUGGGUGUGUGGAAGGACUGGGGACACCAAGGGGAGCUAGGCAGAUGCUGUCCUACCUCACAGAGCUCACUACACAAGGAGACCACAGACCACGAAAGCAGCAAUGGCCACAGCGUGGUAAAGUGUGACGAGGGGGACGUGCUGGCAGCCACAGGGAGGGCUGCUGACCUAGGCUUCCAGAGCCGAUACCCAAGCAGAGGCCAGAGGCUGAAUGUGUGCUGGCCACAAGAAGAGCAGGAAGGAGAGGCUGGAGAGGCCACGGAGAGCAGGAUGCCUGUGUCUGAGGAACGGGGACAGUUUGGAACGGGGAACAGUGAGGACAAGGUGAGGGCUGGGGAAGGGGAGGCCAGGCCCUAAGAUCCACCUGGAAGAUCACAGGGCCGCAUCCCGGGCAGCUCGGCACCUAGCCCAGGGUGGGGCUUCUGUCUUGCUGGAACACCCCGAUCGGCCAGCAUCUCCUCGCGAGUUUAAAUCCCUCCUCCUGCCACCUACGCCACUUCCUGAGCCCAGGUCAUUGCCAAGGGGAAGCAGCGCUCGGCAGAGAGCCGGCCCUGCAGAAGAGGCCGUGGUACCGUCAGAAACGCCCCGUGUGGGUCAGCCUGGGGCAGGCCGGGGGCUCGAACCUCCACCCGCAGUGCCCCCGAAGCCAGCCUCCCCAGAGCCGCCAGGACGAAGCAACCGUCCUCUUGGCUGUGGCCACGGCGGCAAGCACGCACGCGCCAGGGCCCGGGGGCGCCGCCACUCCGCACGCACGAGCUGGGGCCGGACAACCUCUCCUGGCCCGCGGCCUCUGCGCGCCCGUCUGCGAAAUGGCCAUCGCAGGCUGCCUCCCUCACGGGCUUCCUGUGCACCUGACCGUGGGCACCCGCGCCGCACGCAGCCGCAGGAGGAACCGCGCGAGCGCAGAGCUCCUCUCAGAGUGAAAACACGACGGGGCCUGACCUUCCCGGUCAGGGGAGUUUCGGUUCUUCACCCCGCCCC
This is a long non-coding RNA of Ailuropoda melanoleuca (giant panda), 2478 nucleotides long. RefSeq lists it as uncharacterized. Lineage: Eukaryota; Metazoa; Chordata; Mammalia; Carnivora; Ursidae. The record is from RefSeq and is a predicted model, not a curated record. The transcript has 6 exons.